GAUGAACGCUAGCUACAGGCUUAACACAUGCAAGUCGAGGGGCAGCGCAGUGUAGCAAUACAUGGGCGGCGACCGGCGCACGGGUGCGUAACGCGUAUCCAACCUUCCCGUUACUCAGGGAUAGCCUUCCGAAAGGGAGAUUAAUACCUGAUGGUGUUGAAAUUCCGCAUGUUAUUUCAACUAAAGAUUUAUCGGUAACGGAUGGGGAUGCGUGACAUUAGGUAGAUGACGGGGUAACGGCCCACCAUGCCUACGAUGUCUAGGGGUUCUGAGAGGAAGGUCCCCCACACUGGAACUGAGACACGGUCCAG
Molecule: ribosomal RNA, 311 nt
Filed under: uncultured bacterium
Lineage: Bacteria
Description: bacterial SSU rRNA
Rfam family: Bacterial small subunit ribosomal RNA
Source: RNAcentral